GGGCAAGUGUCAGUCAGGUCGGGACCGCGGCUGGGGACGGCGGAGACCCGGGCGGGCAGACUGGACGCCCCGUCCGCCGCCGCGCUUUCCGUGCAAGAUGGAGUUCCUGCUGGGGAAUCCGUUCAGCACGCCGGUGGGACAGUGCCUCGUCACGAUAUCAUUGGAGAAUUUACAACAAGCUACCGGGAACUUUCUAGAGGGCAGUCCCAAUUCAAUGUAUACGAGGUGGUGAAUCCCAAAAAGAAAGGAAAAAAGAAAAAGUGUACGAAUUCUGGAACAGUAACGUUACUCUCCUUCUUGGUAGAAACGGAAGUUUCUUUCCUUGACUACAUCAAGGGAGGCUUUCUGCUAUGGCCUGAAAAGGCGGUAGAAGAUGGCCCAAAUCCUUGGGCCCCUGCACCCUUGUGGGAAACCUGGAGGAAGUUCCUGGCUCCUGGCUUCAGAUUGGCACAGCUUCAGCUGUUGGAACCGAUUGGGGAGUGAACCAUCAGAUGGAAGACCUCUCUCUCUCUGUCUCUACCUCUGUAACUCUGCCUGUCAAAUAAAUAAAUCUUAAAAAAAAAGAACUGAGGCAUAAAGAUUCUAGCUAAAGGCCCAAUAUAUUUUAAGAAAAAAGAUUAGAGUAAGAUUAGCCCCUUCCCUGGUACCAGGGACCCAUGACACCCGGCCCCUUCCCUGGCACCUGGGACCCAGGACACCCAGCUCCUCCCUAGCACCUGGGACCCCCGACCCCCUCCCUGGCAACAGUGACCCCCGAAGAAUGGCCCUUACUGUCACUUGGGACUCCUGAUGUCCAGCCCCCUCCCUGGCACCCCAGAUCCCUGACACCCGGCCCCUUCCCCAAUGACCUGCCCCUUCCGUGGUACCCAGGACCCUGGAAGUCUGGCCCCUCCCUGUCACUCAGGACCCCUGACGCCAGGCCUUUACCCUGGUACCUGGGACCCCUGACACCCGGCCCCUCUCUGUCACUCAGGACCCCAGACACAUGCCCCCUCCCUGACACCCUGGGCCCCCGACGCUGGGCUCCCGAUCCUGGACACCUGACCCCUUCCUUGACUCCCAGGACCAGUGACUCUGGGCCUCUUCCCUAGCACCUAGGAAUUUGGACGCCCAACUCUUCCCUAGCACCUGGGACUUCGAACCCCUCCCUUGCACCCAGAACCUUGAUACCUGGCCCCCACCCUGGCACCCUGGACCCCUGAUGCCCGGCUCUCUCCUGGCCUCCUCCUUGACACCCUGGAUGCCUGAAGCCAGGCCUCCACCCUGGCACCCCGGGCCCCUGAUGCCCAGCCCCUACCCUGGAACCCGGAACCCCCAACUCCCUCCUGGGCCCCGGGAUCCCCAAAGCCUGGCCCCUUACUUGACACCCAGGAUCCUCGACGCCUGGCCCCCUCCCUGGCACCAUGGAUCCCCGAUGCCCAGCUCCCUUCCGGGCCCUGGGAUCCAGACACUUGGCCCCCACCUUGACAACAGUGACCGCCGAUGUCCGGCCUCCUCCCUGGUACCCAGGACCCCCGACACCUGGCCCCCUCCCUGGCACCUGUGACCCCCGACACCCGGCCCUCCCUGUCACUCGGGACUCCUGACAUCCGGCACCCUCCUUGGAACCGCGGAUCCCCGACACCCUGCCCCUUCCCCGACGCCCAGCCCCUUCCCUGGUACCAGGACCCCCGAUGUCCGGCCCCUCCCUGUCUCUCACGACCCCUGGUGCCAGGCCUCCACUGUGGUACCUGGGACCCCUGACGCUCAGCCACUCUCUGUCACUCGGGACCCCAGCCGCCCAGCCCCCUCCCUAGUACAAGGGACCCCUGAUGCCCGGCCCCCUCCCUGGCAUCCCGGAUCCCUGACACCUGGCCCCUUCCCCGAUGCCCAGCUGCUUUCCUGGUACCCAGGACCCACAAAGUCCAGCCCCUCACAGUCACUUGGGACCCCAGCCGCCCGGCCCCCUCCCUGGUACAUGGGGCCCCUGACACCCAGCCCCCUCCCUGGCACCUGGGACCCCUGAUUCCCGGUUCUGCAGUCACACCUCCGUGCAAAGGAGGCAGCGGCAGUGAAAUGAAAGAACACUGGACAAGGAGCAGAAGACCAAGGUCAAGCCCCACCCUGACCUUAGCUGACCAGCCGCAUGCUUGAGAAGCUCCCUGCCACCCCCUCUCCUCCUCUGUUCCAUCAGCACCUGCUGACAUCUGAUUCCAUCUUCAGCUGGAUGCCUUCAGUUCUAUGAACUGUCAUGUGCCACCUGAGUCUCCAGUAAAAACAAAAACAGUCAACAACAACAACAACAAAAAGAGUGGAACGACAGAAGAAAGACCACGCUGGGGAUGCCCUAGGACUUGGCCCAGCUCCAGCUCUGGGGCUUAGCAGGGACCAUAAUCAGCCACUGUCUGUGCUGCCCCUGGCACUCGGACCCCAGACACCUGGCCCCCUCCCUGGUACCUGGGUCCCCUGAUGUCCGGCCCCUUCCCUGGCACCCAGGAUCCUGACAUCUGGUCCCCUCUCUGGCACCCGGGACCCCCGACGCCUGGCCCUCUCUCUGGCACCCUGGACCCCUGACGCCCAGCCGCUCUCUGGCAUCCCAGACCCCCGAUGCCUGGCCCCUCUCUGGCACCCUGGACCCCCAGUGCCCGGCCCCUCUCUGGCAUCCCGGACCCCCGACGCCCAGCCCCUUUCCUGGUACCUGAGAGCCCCAUCGUCCAGCUUCUUCCUGGGCCCCGGGAUCCCUAAAGCUUGGCCCCCUCCUUGACACCCGGGACCCCUGACUUCUGGCCUCCUCCCUGGCAACCAGGACCCCAAUGCCUGGCUGCUUCCCUGGCACCCAGGACCCUCAAUCCCAGCCCCUCCCUAGCACCAGGACCCCACCACCCAACCCCUCCCUGGCACCUGGGACCCCCGACCACCUCCCUGGCAACCGUGACAGCGAAUGUCCUGACCCUCCCUGUCACUCGGGACCCCGGACACCCGGCCUGCAUCCAUGGUACCUGGGACGCCUGAUGCCCGGCCCCUUCCCUGGCACCCAUGAACCCGGUGUCCGGCCCCCUCCCUGGCAGCCGGGACCACCGAUGCCUGGCUUUCUCCCUGGCACCCCAGAUCCCCCAACGCCUGGGCCCCUCUCUGGCAUCCCGGACCCCCGACGCCCAGCCCCUUCCCUAGUACCCUGGACCCCCAUCGCCUGGCUUCUUCCUGGGCCCCAGGAUCCCCAAAGCCUGGCCCCCUCCUUGACACCCAGGACCCCUGCCGCCUGGCCGCCUCCCUGGUACUGCGGAUGCUCGAUGCCCGUUUACCUCCUGGGCCCUGGGAUCCAUGACGCCUGGCCCCCUCCUUGACACUUGGGACCCCUGAACCCCGGUCUCCUCCCUGGCACCCUGGAUCCCCAAUGCCAAUCCCUUACCCUGGUACCGGGGAACCCCCUUCUCCUGUCUCACUCCAGGGCCCGGGAUCCCCUAUGCCUGGCCCUCUCCUUGACUCCCGUGACCCUGGAUGUCCGGCCUCUUUCCUGGCACCCAGGAUCGCGACACCAGGGCCCCUCCAUGGCACCCCGGACCCCUGAUGCCCGGCCCCUUCCCUGACACCCAGCCCACUUCCGGGGACCCGUGGACCCUGGACGCCUGGCCCUUCCCUGACACUCGGGAUCCCAGAUGCCCGACCCCUUCCUUGGCACCCGGGACCCCCGACGACCUCCUUGGCACCCAUGACACCCGACUCCCGGCCACUCCCUUUCACUCGGGAUCCUAACGUGCAGCCCCUCCCUGGAACCCAGGACACCUAAUGCCUGGCCCCCUCCAUGGCACCCCAGAACCCCGAGGACCAGGCCCCUCUGUGGCACCCCGGAACCCUGAUGCCCAGCCCCUUCCCUGGUACCAGGGACCCCCAUCGCCCGGUUCCCUCCUGGAACCUGGGAUCCCAGAAGCCUGGCCACCUCCAUGACACCCGGGACCCCCAAUAACCGGCCUCUUCCCUGCACCCAGGACCCUCGAUCCUGGGCCCUCCCUGCACCCAGACCCCAAUGCCUGACCCCUCACUGGCACCCAAGACCCCCAACCUCCUCCCUGGCAACCAUGACCCCAAUGCCCGGCAACUCUGUGUCACUUGGGACCCCAGACAACUGGGCCCCUCCUUGGUACCUGGGACCCCUGACGCCCAGUACCUUCCCUGGCACCCAGGAUCCCGACGUCCGGCCCCUUCCCUGGCACCCACGAGCCCCAACACCCAGGCCCCUCUCUGGCACCCCAGACCCUCAAUGCCCAACCCCUUCCCUGGUACCUGGGACCCCCAUCGCACGACUCCCUCCUGGAUCCAGGAUCUCUGAAUCCUGGCUCCCUCCUUGAUGCCCAGGACCCCUGAUGCCUGGCCUCUUCCCUGACAACUGGGCCCCCCGACCACCUCCAUUUCACCCAUGACCCCCAACACCCCGCCCUCCCUGUCACUCGGGACUCCCAAAGCCUGACCCCCUCCUUGACACCCAGGACCCCUGAUGCCCGGUUCCUCCUGGGCCCCGGGACCCCUGAUGCCUGGCCCCCUCCUUGACACACAGGACCCCUGAUGCCAGGCCUCCUCCCUGGCACCCUGGUCCCCAGAUGCCCAGCACGUACCCUGGACGUGGAAUCCUCACCGCCCGACUCCCUCCGGGGCCCAGGAUCCCUAAGGAAUGGCCCCCUCCCUGUCACCCUGUACCCUUGACGCCUGGCUCACUCCUGGGCCACGGGAUCCCAGAUGCCUGGCUCCCUCCUUGACACCGGGAACCCCUGAGGCCCGGCCUCCUCCUGGCACCUGGGACCCUGAUGCCCAGCCACUUCCUAGGCACCUGGGACCAUGGACGCCCAGCUCCUCUGGGCACCCGGGAACCCCUACACCCUCCCUGGCACCCAUGUCCCCCAACCCCCAGCCCUUCCUGUCACUCUGGAUUCCCGACGUUUGGCCCCCACCCUGGUAGCCCGGAUCCCCGGCACCUGGCCUCUUCCCUGGCACCCAGGACCCCCAGCACCUGGCCUCUUCCCUCAAACCCCGGACCCCAGACACCUGGCCCCUUCCCCGACGCCCAGCACCCUCCUGGGUACACGAGACCCCUGACGCCUGGCCCCUCCCUGGCACCUGGACACCAAUGCCUGACACCUCCCUGGCACCUGGGACCCCUGAUCACCUCCCUAGCACCCGUGACACCCGAUGCCCGGCCCCUAUCCAUGGUACCUGGAAACCCUGAUGCCUGGACCCUUCACAGGGAACCAGGAUCUCGAGGUCCGGCCCCUCCUUGGCACCCAGGACCCCCGACGACUGGCCACCUCCUUGGCACCCCAGAAUCCUGAGGCCUGGGAUCCUCUGUGGCACCCCGGACCCCUGACGCCCAGCCCCUUCCCUGGUACCUGGGACUAGCAUUACCCAGCUCCCUCCUGGGCCCCGGGAUCCCAGACUCCUGGCCCCCUCCUUGACACUGGGAACCCCUGAUGCCCUGCCUCUUCCCUGGCACCGGGGACGCUGACACCAGGCCUCUUCCCUGGCACCCGGGACCCUGGAUGCCCAGCUCCUCCCUGUCACCCGGGACCCCCUUACAACCUCCCUGGCACCCAAGACCACCAAUGCCUGGUCCUUCCUUUCACUCUGGACUCCCGACAUCCGGCCUCCACCCUGGCACCCUGGAUCUCCGGCACCUGGCCCCUUCCCAAUGCCCAGCCCCUUCUCUGGUAUCCAGGACCCCCAAAGUCUGGCCCUCCCUGUCACUCAGGACCCCUGAUGCCUGGCCUCCUCCCUGGUACCCAGGACCCCUGACGCCCAACACCCUCCUGGGCACCAGAUUCCAUGAUGUCUGGCCCCCUCCUUGACACCCGGAUCCCCGGAAGCCUGGCCUCCUCCCUGGAGCCCUGGAGCCCGGAUGCACAGCUCCUACCCUGGUAACCAGGAUCCCCAUCACCCGUCUCCCUCCUGGGCUCCAGGAUCCCGGACCCCUAUCCCCCUCAAUGGCACCAUGGACCAGGGACGCCCAGCCCAUUCCCCGAUGCCCAGCCCCCUCCCACAUCCCGGGACCCCCAAUGGCCACCCCUCUCUGUCACUUGGGACCCCAGACGCCUGCCCCUCCCUGGUACCCCGGACCCCGAUGUCCAGCCUCUUCCCUGGCACCCAGGACCAUCAAUCUUGGCCCCAACCUGGCACCCGGACCCCAACGCCCGACCCUUCCCUUGCACCCAGGACCCCUGACUACCUCCCUGGCACCAGUGACACCCGACGCCUGGCCUCCCCCUGUCACUUGGGACCCCAGACACCUGGCCCCCAUCCAUGGUACCUGGGACGCCUGACACCUGGCCCCUUCCCUGACAUCCGGGACACCUGACUCCUGGACCCUCCUUGGCACCCCGGACCCCCAAAGCCUGGUAUCCUCUGUGGCACCCCGGACCCCCAACGCCCAACCCCUUGCAUGGUACCUAGGACCCCCAUCGCCUGGCUCCCUCCUGGGCCUCGGGAUCCAAGACUCCUGGCCUCCUCCUUGACACCAGGAACCCCUGACGCCCAGCCUCUUCCCUGGCACCCAGGAUCCUGAUGCCCGGCCACUUUCCUGGCACAGUGGCCCUGGACACCCAGCUCUUCCCUGGCACCCAGGACCCCUAUACCCUCCCUAGCACCCAUGACCCCCAACGCCCGGCCAUUCCUGUCAACGGGACUCCCAAUGUCUGACCCCGCCAUGGCACUCCGGAUCCCCAAUACCUGGCCCCUUCCAAGAUGCCCAGCCCCUUCCCUGGUACCCAGGACCCCUAUCCAGCCACUCCUUGUCACCCUACACUUCUGACGCCCGGCCUCCUCCCUGAUACACGGGACCCCUGAUGCCUGGCCAGUCUCUGUCACUGGGGACCCAAGCCGCCUGGCCCCCUCCCUGGCACCCUGGAUCCCCAACACCCGGCCUCUUCUCCGAUGCAUAGCUGCUUCCCUGGUACCCAGGACCCCUGAUGCCCAGCCCACUCCCAGGCACCCGGGACUCCAGACGCUGAGCCCCUACUCAGACCCUCCUCCUCUGGCCCCUCCCUGUCACUCAGGACCCCUGAUACCUUGCCUCCUCCCUGGUACACGGGACCCCUGAUGCCUGGCCAGUCUCUGUCACUGGGGACCCAAGCCACCCGGCCCCCUCCCUGGCACCCCGGAUCCCCAACACCCGGCCUCUUGCCCGAUGCACAGCUGAUUCCCUGGUACCCAGGACCCCUGAUGCCCGGCCUCCUCCCUGGUACCUGGGACCCCUGAUGCCCAGCCCCUCUCUGUCACUCGGGACUCCAGCCGCUCAGCCCCCUCCAUGGUACACAGGACCCCUGAAGCCCAGCCCCCUCCCUGGCACCCUGAACCCCUGACACCCAGCUCCCUCCUGGGCCCCGGGAUGCCCAAAGCCUGGCCCCCUCCUUGUCACCCUAGACUUCUGACGCCCGGCCUUUCCCUGGCACCAUGGGCCCCCGACGCCCAGCCUCUAUCCUGGUACCUGGGACCCCCAGGACCCCCAACGUCCUACCCCCUCCUUGGCACCUGGGACCCCCGACACCUGACCCCCUCCCUGUCAGCCCGGAUCCUUGAGGCCCGGUACCUUCCGACACCCAGCCCCCUCCCGGGCACCCAGGACCCCCGACACCUGGCCCCCUUCUUGACACCUGUGAUCCCGGAUGUCCAGCCUCCUGCCUGGAACCUAGGUCCCCUGCUGACCGGCACCCCCGGUUCCCAGGACCCCCAACGUCCUACCCCCACCUUGGCACCAGGGACCCCCAACACCUGACCCCCUUUCUGGCACCCCGGAUCCUUGAGGCCCGGUCCCUUCCCUGACACCCAGCCCCCUCCCGGGCACCCAGGACCCCUGACACCUGGGCUCUCCCUGUCACUUGGGACCCCAGACACCCAGCCCCCUCCCUUGCACCCGGACCCCAAACGCCUGACCCUGGGCUGUUUUUUUUUUUUUCUUUCAACAUCCAAGUACAAAUUUUAUUUCACAAAAAAUACAACGUGAUUCUUCCAAAAUGAAAACUGGAACACCUGUGGAGCUUGCACUGCAGCCUUCUUCUAGAGGAGUAGUCAGAGAGGGGGGAAAAAGAACAAAAGGAAAAACUAAGGUGUAAAGAUCAAUUUCUAAGCAAUAAAAUCUCAGUAUAUUGGAGAUCUUUAUUUAGAGAGAAUCCAUAACAUCUAAAAGUAAAAACUGAUAAAUGAAUUGAAUGAGAUUUCAGGAAAGAUCGAUAUGUUUAAAAUCCACUAGAUUACCAAGCACCGGCAAGAAACAAAUAGAAGAUAUUAAAGGUCAGUAGGCAGAGUGGACAACAUAUAUUGACAGGGGGGAAAAAGGCUUCAAUUAUGUGAUGCCUUUAAGCAUUCUUCAAAUCACUAUUAAAACAUGAUACAAAUGGCCCAACAGAAAAAUGAGCAGAAAUCUGAAGACAAAGAGAAAGCCCCUAAGCCUUGAGCAGAAUUUUAACUCACCUGAAGCAGGUGACCGCCAGCUGCAGCCAGGAUCCGCCUGCGAGAAGCAUGGGGCGACCCCGGGGCGACCCCAGCGGGUGGCAGGUGCACCACGCGGAGAGGAGCCCAGGAGGAGGGCAGGGGGCCGCUUCCCACCUCUCCUGAUUCACUCCAAGCACAGACCGGUUAGGGAGCCACGCCUUGAAGAAUGCUGAUUGGCUGCGUCUUUUGUGACGCUGUGUGCGUCCCCGUCCAAUCAGGCUCAGUGAUGUCAUCACAUGGGAUCUUGACGUCACAGUGGUCUUAGAGUUCCUCUGUGGAGCGAGGUCCCAGGAGAAGGCUGCGCUGCCUAGAAGCUCUAGAGCCCAGUGGGGGUCUGUGCUCUCCAAGUUCCCCUGCUGGGGGUCGCCAGUCACCUAGGAGCUGAGGACCUCGACAUGACUUCUGACGCCCGGCCUCCAACCUGGUACACGGGACCCCUGAUGCCUGGCCAGUCUCUGCCACUGGGGACCCAAGCCACAAGGCCCCCUCCAUGGCACCCCGGAUCCCCAACACCCGGCCUCUUCUCCGAUGCACAGCUGCUUUCCUGGUACUCAGGAUCCCUGAUGCCCAGACCACUCCCUGGACCAAUGACGCCGGGCCACUUCCCUAGCACCCAGGACCCGGAUGCCUAGCUCCUCCCUGGCACCCGGGACUCUCGAACUCCUCCCUGGGACUCCAGAUGCUGAGCCCCUACUCUAUCAUACCCUCCUCCCCGGCCCUUCCCUGUCACUCGGGACCCCUAAUGCCUGGCCUCCUCCCUGGUACCUGGGACCCCUGAUGCCCAGACCCUCUCUGUCACUCCGGACGCCAGUCGCCCAGCCCCCUCCAUAGUACACAGGACCCCUGAAGCCCAGCUCCCUCCCUGGCACCCCGAACCCCUGACGCCCAGCUCCCUCCUGGGCCCCGGGAUGCCUGAAGCCUGGCCCCCUCCUUGUCACCCUAGACUUCUGACGCCCGGCCUCCUCCCUGGCACCCUGGGCCCCCGACGCCCAGCCCCUACUCUGGUACCUGGGACCCACUUCUCCUGGCACCCUCUGGACCCCAGGAUCCCCGACGCCUGGCCCCCUUCUUGACACCUGUGACCCCGGAUGUCCAGCCUCCUGCCUGGCACCUAGGUCCUCUGCCGACCGGCCCCUUCCCCGGUUCCCAGGACCCCCAACGUCCUACCCCCACCUUGGUACCUGGGACCCCCGACACCUGACCCCCACCCUGGCACCCCGGAUCCUUGAGGUCCGGUCCCUUCCCUGGCACCCAGCCCCCUCCCUGGUACCCGGGAUCCCUGACGCCGGCUUCCUCCCUGGCACCCAGUACCCCGACGCCUGGCUUCUCCAUGGCACCCAGGACCCUGGACGCCCAGCUCCUCCCUGGCACCGGGAUUCCUGACCCCCUCCCUGGCACUGGUGACCCGCAACACCUGGCCUUCCCUGUGACUUGAGACUCCCGACUUCCGGCCCCUCAAUGGCACUCCGGAUCCCCAACACCUGGCCUCUUCCCUGACUCCCAGCCCCUUCCCUGGUACCCAGGACCCCCUAUCCAGCCCCUCCUUGUCACCCUACACUUCUGACGCCCGGCCUCCAACCUGGUACACGGGACCCCUGAUGCCUGGCCAGUCUCUGUCACUGGGGACCCAAGCCGCCUGGCCCCCUCCCUGGCACCCUGGAUCCCCAACACCCAGCCUCUUCCCCAAUGCACAGCUGCUUUCCUGGUACUCAGGAUCCCUGAUGCCCAGCCCCCUCCCUGGCACAUGAGACUCCAGAUGCUGAGCCCCUACUCAGACUCUCCUCCUCCGGGCCCUCCCUGUCACCUGGGACCCCUGAUGCCUGGCCUCCUCCCUGGUACACGGGACCCUUGACGCCCAGACCCUCUCUGUCACUUGGGACUCCAGCCGCCCAGCCCCCUCCAUGGUACACGGGACCCCUGAAGCCCAGCCCCCUCCCUGGCACCCUGAACCCCUGACACCCAGCUCCCUCCUGGGCCCCGGGAUGCCCGAAGCCUGGCCCCCUCCUUGUCACCCUAGACUUCUGACGCCCAGCCUCCUUCUGGCACCAUGGGCCCCGAACGCCCAGCCCCUACCCUGGUACCUGGGACCCCCUUCUGGCACCCUCUGGGCCCCAGGAUCCCCAACGCCUGGCCCCCUUCUUGACACCUGUGACCCCGGAUGUCCAGCCUCCUGCCUGGCACCUAGGUCCCCUGCCGACUGGCCCCUUCCCCGAUUCCCAGGACCCCCAAUGUCCUACCCCCUCCUUGGCACCUGGGACCCCUGACACCUGACCCCCUCUCUGGCAUCCCGGAUCCUUGAGGCCCGGUCCCUUCCCUGACACCCAGCCCCCUCCCGGGCACCCAGGACCCCCGACACCUGGCCCCUCCCUGUCACUCGGGACCCCAGACGCCCAGCCCCCUCCCUGGCACCCGGGACCCUGAACCUCCUCCCUGGCAACCGUGACCCCCGAUGCCUGGCAACUCUGUGUCACUUUGGACCCCAGAAAACCGGGCCCCUCCUUGGUACGUGGGACUCCUGAUGCCCAGCACCUUCCCUGUCUCCCGGAAUCCCCAAUGCCCGGGCCCCUCUCUGGCACCCUGGACCAUCAAUGCCCAACCCCUUCCCUGGUACCUGGGACCCCCAUCACAUGACUCCCUCCUGGAUCCAGGAUACCUGAAUCCUGGCUCCCUCCUUGAUGCCCGGGACCCCUGAUGCCUGGCCUCUUCCCUGGCAACCGGGCCCCCUGACCACCUCCAUUACACCCAUGACCCCCAACAGCCAGCCCUCCCUGUCACUCGGGACUCCCGAUACCUGCCCCCUUCCUUGACACCCGGGAUCCCUAAUGCCCGGUUCCUCCUGGGCCCCAGGACCCCCGACGCCUGGCCCCCUCCUUGACACCCAGGACCCCUGAUGCCAGGCCUCCUCCCUGGCACCCUGGUCCCCAGACGCCCAGCACCUACCCUGUACGUGGAACCCCCACCGCCCGACUCCAUCCUGGGCCCAGGAUCCCUAAGGAAUGGCCCCCUCCCUGUCACCCUGUACCCCUGACGCCUGGCUCACUCCUGGGCCACGGGAUCCCAGACGCCUGGCUCCCUCCUUGACACCAGGAACCCCUGAGGCCCGGCCUCCUCCUGGCACCCGGGACCCUGAUGCCCAACCACUUCCUAGGCACCUGGGACCAUGGACGCCCAGCUCCUCCGGGCACCUGGGAACCCCUACACCCUCCCUGGCACCCAUGUCCCCCAACACCCAGCCCUUCCUGUCACUCUGGAUUCCCGACGUUUGGCCCCAACCCUGGCAGUCCCGAUCCCCAGCACCUGGCCUCUUCCCUGGCACCCAGGACCCCCAGCACCUGGCCUCUUCCCUCAAACCCCGGACCCCAGACACCUGGCCCCUUCCCCGACGCCCAGCAAGCACCCUCCCGGGCACCUGGCCCUCCCUGACGCCUGGCCAAAUCCCUGGCAACCCAGACACCCAAUGCCCAGCCCCUACCCUGGUAACCAGGGCCCCCAUCACCCGGCUCCCUCCUGGGCCCCAGGAUCCCCGACCCCUAUGCCCCUCAAUGGCACCAUGGACCACCGAUGCCCAGCCCCUUCCACAAUGCCCAGCCCCCUCCCGUGCACCUGGGACCCCCAACGCCCGGCCACUCUCUGUCACUUGGGACCCCAGACGCCCACCCCUCCCUGGUACCCAGGUCCCCGACACCCAACCUCUUCCCUGGCACCCAGGACCCUCGAUUCCGGCCUCUCCCUGGCACCUAGACACCAACACCUGACACCUCCCUGGCACCCAGGACCCCCGAUCACGCCCUGGCACCUGUGACACCUGACGCCCGGUCCCUCCUUGACACUCAGGACCCCAGACACCUGGCCCCUAUCCAUGGUACCUGGAAACCCUGAUGCCCGGCCCCUCAUUGGCACCCAGAACCCCCGAUGACUGGCCACCUCCCUGGCACCCCGGAACUCUGAGGCCUGGGAUCCUCUGUGGCACCCUGGACCCCUGACGCCCAGCCCCUUCCCUGGUACCUGGGACUAGCAUUGCCCAGCUCCCUCCUGGGCCCUGGGAUCCCAGACUCCUGGCCCCCUCCUUGACACUGGGAACCCCUGACGCCUGGCCUCUUCCCUGGCACCGGGGACGCUGACACCAGGCCUCUUCCCUGGCACCCGGGACCCUGGAUGCCCAGCUCCUCCCUGUCACCCGGGACCCCCUUACAACCUCCCUGGCAGCGGGACCACCAACGGCUGGUCCUACCUUUCACUCUGGACUCCCAACGUCCGGCCUCCACCCUGGCACCCCGGAUCUUCGGCACCUGGCCCCUUCCCAGAUGCCCAGCCCCUUCUCUGGUACCCAAGACCCCCAAAGUCUGGCCCUCCCUGUCACUCGGGACCCCUGAUGCCUGGCCUCCUCCCUGGUACCCAGGACCCCUGAAGCCCAGCCCCUCUCUGUC
Non-coding RNA from Oryctolagus cuniculus (rabbit), 12878 nucleotides. The record is from RefSeq and is a predicted model, not a curated record. Lineage: Eukaryota; Metazoa; Chordata; Mammalia; Lagomorpha; Leporidae.